Molecule: long non-coding RNA, 357 nt
Filed under: Penaeus japonicus
Lineage: Eukaryota; Metazoa; Arthropoda; Malacostraca; Decapoda; Penaeidae
Description: uncharacterized LOC122247356
Source: RNAcentral
GUAGAAAUCGGCGGGAACUUCGGGACCAACGGCACCUUCAGCAGCCUCCUGGUAGAGAAGCCGCCGCCCUACCCCGGGGCGCCUCAGCACACCUCAGUCAUCCCCCCCGGUACGCGACAGGGAAGUUACGGGGGCCGGUACACACUGGGAACCCUUCACAAUCAAGGGUACGAGUCCGGGAAACCUGGUUCGCCCUGCGUUCGAGGUGGGGUGCAGUACGCUACGCCCGCGCACCAUCGCUCGCUUCUUCCAGUGUCUGUGAGGGCCUCGGGCUCCGAGAGCGACGUCUCCUCGACACAGAAGGAAGAGUGGUUUGUAUAGGUGAGUCGCAAGAGACAGAUCGUGGUUAUGUAUAAA